AACGAACGCUGGCGGCAUGCCUAACACAUGCAAGUCGAACGAGACCUUCGGGUCUAGUGGCGCACGGGUGCGUAACGCGUGGGAAUCUGCCCUUGGGUUCGGAAUAACUUCGGGAAACUGAAGCUAAUACCGGAUGAUGACGUAAGUCCAAAGAUUUAUCGCCCAAGGAUGAGCCCGCGUAGGAUUAGCUAGUUGGUGAGGUAAAGGCUCACCAAGGCGACGAUCCUUAGCUGGUCUGAGAGGAUGAUCAGCCACACUGGGACUGAGACACGGCCCAGACUCCUACGGGAGGCAGCAGUGGGGAAUAUUGGACAAUGGGCGAAAGCCUGAUCCAGCAAUGCCGCGUGAGUGAUGAAGGCCUUAGGGUUGUAAAGCUCUUUUACCCGGGAUGAUAAUGACAGUACCGGGAGAAUAAGCUCCGGCUAACUCCGUGCCAGCAGCCGCGGUAAAGUGACUACUG
RNAcentral lists this ribosomal RNA (460 nucleotides) under uncultured bacterium. RNAcentral's name for it is "bacterial SSU rRNA". It matches the Rfam family "Bacterial small subunit ribosomal RNA", at positions 29 to 534 of the family's 1533-position model. The record is from RNAcentral.